AUGGCUUCCAACGGGAGCGCCGGCGAGGUCAGGGACGUCCACAGCAGCGAGACCACCAAGACCCUCCUCAAGAGCGACGACCUCUACGACUACAUGCUGAAGACGAUGGUGUACCCGCGGGAGAACGAGUUCAUGCGCGAGCUCCGGCAAAUCACCAGCGAGCACAUCUUCGGGUUCAUGUCGUCGCCGCCGGAUGAGGGGCUGCUGCUGUCGCUGCUGCUCAAGGUGAUGGGCGCCAAGAGGACCAUCGAGGUGGGGGUCUACACCGGCUGCUCCGUCCUCGCCACCGCGCUCGCCAUCCCGGACGACGGCAGGAUCGUCGCCAUCGACGUCAGCAGGGAGUACUUCGACCUCGGCCUCCCGGUCAUCAAGAAGGCCGGCGUCGCGCACAAGGUCGACUUCCGCGAGGGCCCCGCCGGCCCCAUCCUCGACAAGCUCAUCGCCGACGAGGAAGCGGGGAGCUUCGACUUCGCCUUCGUGGACGCCGACAAGUACAACUACGGCAACUACCACGAGCAGCUGCUGCGGCUGGUGCGCGUCGGCGGCGUGCUCGCCUACGACAACACGCUCUGGGGCGGCACCGUCGCCAUGCCCGACGACACGCCGCUUACGGAGGAGGACCGCAAGAAACGGGACUCCUUCAGGGGGUUCAACGCCAUGAUCGCCGCCGACACCCGCGUCGAGCCCGUGCAGCUCCCUAUCGCCGAUGGCAUCACGCUCUGCCGCCGCGUCGCUUGA
RNAcentral lists this ribosomal RNA (738 nucleotides) under Triticum aestivum (bread wheat). RNAcentral describes it as "partial small subunit ribosomal RNA". Lineage: Eukaryota; Viridiplantae; Streptophyta; Magnoliopsida; Poales; Poaceae. The record is from RNAcentral.